This 330-nucleotide unclassified non-coding RNA is filed under the name soil metagenome. RNAcentral's name for it is "partial contains 5.8S ribosomal RNA, internal transcribed spacer 2, and large subunit ribosomal RNA". The stretch from base 1 to 120 matches the Rfam family "5.8S ribosomal RNA", at positions 35 to 154 of the family's 154-position model. The record is from RNAcentral.
GAUGAAGAACGCAGCGAAAUGCGAUAAGUAGUGUGAAUUGCAGAAUUCAGUGAAUCAUCGAAUCUUUGAACGCACAUUGCGCCCCUUGGUACUCCAUGGGGCAUGCCUGUUCGAGCGUCAUUUGUACCCUCAAGCUUUGCUUGGUGUUGGGCGUCUUGUCGUAUUACGACUCGCCUUAAAUACAUUGGCAGCCGGCACUUUGGCCUAGGAGCGCAGCACAUUUUGCGAUCGUAGCCCGUUGUACUGGCGUCCAUCAAGAACAUUUACCACGUUUGACCUCGGAUCAGGUAGGGAUACCCGCUGAACUUAAGCAUAUCAAUAAGCGGAGGA